UACGUAGGGUGCGAGCGUUAAUCGGAAUUACUGGGCGUAAAGCGUGCGCAGGCGGCGCCGCAAGUCAGGCGUGAAAUCCCCGAGCUUAACUUGGGAAUGGCGCUUGAAACUACGGUGCUGGAGUGUGGCAGAGGGAGGUGGAAUUCCACGUGUAGCGGUGAAAUGCGUAGAGAUGUGGAGGAACACCGAUGGCGAAGGCAGCAUCCUGGGCCAACACUGACGCUCAUGCACGAAAGCGUGGGGAGCAAACAGG
This 253-nucleotide ribosomal RNA is filed under the name uncultured bacterium. RNAcentral describes it as "partial 16S ribosomal RNA". It matches the Rfam family "Bacterial small subunit ribosomal RNA", at positions 524 to 776 of the family's 1533-position model. The record is from RNAcentral.